CCUACGGUGGCAGCAGUGGGGAAUAUUGGACAAUGGGCGAAAGCCUGUUCCAGCCAUGCCGCGUGUGUGAAGAAGGCCUUCGGGUUGUAAAGCACUUUCAGUGGGGAAGAAAGCCUUGGGGCUAAUACCCUCGAGGAAGGACAUCACCCACAGAAGAAGCACCGGCUAACUCCGUGCCAGCAGCCGCGAUAAUACGGAGGGUGCGAGCGUUAAUCGGAAUUACUGGGCGUAAAGCGCGCGUAGGCGGUCUGAUAAGCCGGUUGUGAAAGCCCCGGGCUCAACCUGGGAACGGCAUCCGGAACUGUCAGGCUAGAGUGCAGGAGAGGAAGGUAGAAUUCCCGGUGUAGCAGUGAAAUGCGUAGAGAUCGGGAGGAAUACCAGUGGCGAAGGCGGCCUUCUGGACUGACACUGACGCUGAGGUGCGAAAGCGUGGGUAGCAAACAGGAUUAGAUACCCGAGUAGUC
Molecule: ribosomal RNA, 464 nt
Filed under: Vreelandella stevensii
Lineage: Bacteria; Pseudomonadati; Pseudomonadota; Gammaproteobacteria; Oceanospirillales; Halomonadaceae
Description: partial 16S ribosomal RNA
Rfam family: Bacterial small subunit ribosomal RNA
Source: RNAcentral